GAAGCGAUUUUUGAAGCCAUUUGCAAUUUUUCAGAUUCCAUUAAAAAGCAGUGCCCAGGGAAGCCCUAAUCAAAAAGAUCAUAAGGGCUACAACAUGAAUGUGAACAGCACUCCUGCCACUAGCUCAAAGAACCAGGUGUCUGCUUUUAUCUGAAGCACAUCAGAACCUCUGACCCCUCUCAGCCCGUUCUUAAACAGCAUCCUGGUUUUGAAGACCAAAACACUUUGGAGAGUUUCUGUUGUUCAUUACUCAGUCUUCCCCCACCUAUUCACUUUUGGCCAGAGGGAAUAAUAAUUGUCUGAGGCAACCCACCCUUCAAUCAAUAGAAAGUGAGACAUUUUAACAAAGCUUCAUCACUGAGGCCUCACAAAAGGCAACCACCCAGUGCCUACCCUUUGUCAAAGGUGUCUACCCUUGAGUGCUUGCAGCUACCUUUAUAUUAGCAUUGCUUUUGGCAAGCAUAAUAAUUAGUUUGCACCCUGAAAAGUCCAUAUUCUUGUGUAUGUACAUUCCUUGCUUUUCCUGGUCCUAGUUCUAGUGAGAAUUGUUCUCUGUGGUCACCCCAUA
Molecule: long non-coding RNA, 568 nt
Organism: Pogoniulus pusillus (Red-fronted tinkerbird)
Lineage: Eukaryota; Metazoa; Chordata; Aves; Piciformes; Lybiidae
Exons: 2
Source: RefSeq, a predicted model, not a curated record